UCCUGUGGAACUCAUGGCAUCAGUCGUAUGGACCUUCAUGUAUUUGAUAGUUUUCUCGAUCACUUUUAUGCCCUCAACUACAGCUAAGGCUACCCCACAAGUUCAUUGAGAUUUGUUUUUUAUAGGACUUGGAUUAAUAAUCUCCAACAAUAUGGUCAUUGCUUCUUAUAUAUACUUUCAGUUCUAAAUACAUUUCAGAUUUUUCUUUAUCCUGUACUACUAAACUAUGUGUGCUAAACCAAACAUGGCAUCUGCGUCUUUUUAUGCAUGCAUGUUUCAAGACAAUAUAUCUAAUAUGUAGUAUACAGAAAGGUACCUAAAUAUUAGCUUAUAUUGCCAACUCUUGAAAAUAUACGGUCCCUGUACAUUUUUUGCCGAGAACCUGGGGAGCUUGGGACGAAGUAUGGUGUCAAUAAUCAGUAUAUACCAGAACAAUAUUUCAACACCGAUGUCACUUGCCACAGUACUUCCUUCACUGCCAAUCUAGCCGCAAACUCUGUUUGUCCUCGAAUCUAGCUCCACAAAGGUUGUGCUUUGCCGUGCAUCUAAAAGUAAGGUUACUAUCAUAAUUAAUUAGUAGAGCUUCUUCUCUAUUCAAAUUGAAUUUGAUAAGCAACAAAGUCCUCUGUGUCAUGCUUCAAUUAUAUGGCUCGAGCCGGCCAAACCUGAAAUGUUCGGUGAAGAUUCAAAGUACAUCUAGAUUACUUUGUGUUGCCCACAAUCCUAUUACUUGAUUUUUUUUGAGCUAACUAUAUCUAUGGAUAAAUUUGCAAGAUGAUGCAAAAAAAUUGCUUGCAGGUAGGCUGUGUACAGAGAUGCAUGUUGUGAGUUCAUAACAAUUUUACAAUAUUGAGAUUUGUUUUAGAUGCUUCUAAGCAGUGCUAUAGCAGAACGGUGCUCCAUUUCCUUACUGUUGUUGCUAAAUAUUUGUUUUGUGGCAUAUUAGGACUGAACGGCAUCAUGCUAACAACCUCACCCUAGGAGUCCACUUCUUCACGGUCAUGGCAUCUGCCUCCACCAAUUAUCUAGAGGUAAUUGAUUUGGUGCCCUCCGUUGGAUGAAGAUGCUUUAUUAUGUGUGGUUUAGUCGCAUGUGGUUCAUGCAAGCUGCCCUUUAGUUUUUAGUGACGUUGGAUAGAGUUGAGAAAAAUAUAUUUAUGCCUACAAUUUUGUGUGCCUUUUUCUAGCAGUUAAGUUCCAGAGACAAUUGGGGAGGUCAACUUUGAGCUGCAGCACUCUAUGUGUUCACGCAAUCGGAACGCCCAAAAUAUCAUGCCAAUAUGUGAUUUAUGCCUUUUCUGUUAGGUAUGUGAUCAUUGAUACAUAUGAUUAGUUGGUACUUAGGAGCAUGCAAACCCCUGUUUCCUUCAUAAUCCAGAAGGUCCAAAUUUUAAAUAUGGAUGUUCAGCUAUGAGGAGAACCUUAUUGGCUCGGACAUCAUAUUCUUUAGGUAGGCAAUCAUUACUUCAUUAUGAUUAGUUGAUAUUUCUGAACAGGGGGAGCCAUGGUGUCCACAAGGCUCAAUCAAGUCGAAUUUCUGAUAUAGAUUUUAAAUGAUCAAGACAACCUAAGUACCUCUUUGCUUGGCCACCAUUGCCAAUAUCUAUGGAGCAGUUUUCAAGUGUGCAAAUUUCCAAACCAUUAAAACAACCUCUAGGUGCAUACACACAGGCAACUGCCAGCAUAUUGUGAGAGUGCAUUUUAAAACGAUUUGCAUAACUUCUGAUGAGGAUAAUCAUAAAAUGCUCAAAGCAUUUUAAAUUAAUCUUCCAACUUUGUAAAUACUGAAUCAAAAUAUCAAAUAAAUAAUUUUUAGGUUCAUUAAUAAAGAUAGAGUGCUCCUAUUUAGGCAGUGCCAAGUAUUAGAUGUUCGAUAUCUCUAUUAGCUUUCCCUAAAUGUUAAAUACUAAAAAGAUCUGAGUUGUGAGUGCUACUUCAUUGGUAUUUUGAUGUGUCUUCACAUUAUAAAAUACUACUGAUGGUCUUGCAGGAUUAUCUCCCUUCUCCACGGAUAAAUUGCUUGAUGUGUUCAAUUGUCCGGUUUUCCCUAAAUGUUAAACACUAAAAAGGCCUGAGUGGUAAGUGCUACUUCAUUGGUAUUUUAAUGUGUCUUCACAUUAUAAAAUACAACUGAUGGUCUUGCAGGAUUAUCUCCCUUCUCCACGGAUAAAUUGCUUGAUGUGUUCAAUGGUCCGGUUGAAUUGGAUACAAGCAUGCUACAAAUCAAAUAGUUAUUUGAUAAGGCAUUUGAUGAGCUCCUGUAAUUCUAAUCUACUUCCCACAUUUUACAGCUGAUGUUAUUUAGUAAUCUGUAGUGAGCCUAAGAAAUAGUACUAUGGGGAGAAGCAGGCAACACGUAAUAUGUGUGUCAUUUGAGAAAAAUGAAACUUCCAACUUUCCAACUGUUCAUUGCAUAUUACAUGUAAAAGACACUAUCUUAGACAAAUAGAUGAUUCACCAGGUUCAAUGAAAGUUAGCUUAAAUACCAUGUAUUUUUCUGCACAUGGAUUAUUGCCUAUUGUAGAUCAUCCUCUGUACAUUUGUUAGUCUAAUAGUCAAGCAGGACAAAAAAGUUCACUCCAGUAAUGCCUUUGCUCUACAAGAUCUGACAAUUGUUAAAACAACAAAUCACAGACUAAUGAUUUCAUUUGUUUGCGGGAAUAGGCACUGUAUUUUUCACUCUUAUGCAAAAAAAACUUUAAGUCGCGAUUUUUUUUAAAAAAAUUCAUGAAAGAUCUCGAGGGUGAGACAAUUUUCAUCAUAUUCAGAGGAAUAUUAGCUUGAGUACCAUAUAGAGGGUGAGACAAGUGGUACUUGACAUAACAUGUCUCUUGCGUUAAUUUUCUUAUUCAGGUGGCACACUACGUGUAGCAAACUCAUUCAUAGUAAAGAAAUGAAUGGUAUCAUUUCUCAUGCCACGGAAGUAUGGUCUGAAGUUGCCUUACUCUGAGGACCUUUUUUCAACAUCUAUGACCCGACUAGCAAAUUAUGGCAACAGCAGUCACGUCAGGCAUAAUACAACGCACAGGGCCAUCAACUAGCUCCAUAAAUCUUAAUCUCAUUUUCUGUGAUUGUUGGUUUGCUAUAUAAGUCAUUGAUGAUGAAAGAAUGUAGAAACCACGUGUUGGGUACAAUAUUUAACCAUACAAUUUCUGCUAGAAACCAUCAUAAUCCAUGCCUCCCCCUACUUUUCUUACAGCAAACUAAUAGAUCUCAACUAACCACAAGCUUAGCCUGUGGUAUACUGCAUAAAUAUCUAGCUUAUGGAAAGCCUGGUAAGUGGAGCACUGGAGCGCCUUCUAACUAGCAGAGCCCAAUUCACUGUUUUGUACAUAGAUGAGAAAUUUGCUUGCUGCCACUCAUCUAAUAUCAGAUGUUUCUGUUCCAUGUGGAACUAACAGUUCACAUCUCUAGCUCUACUGCUUUGUUGUUGUACACAAAAGCUUUUGUAACCACGAUGCUGAUAUACGUAUGAUAGGUACUUCAUGUGCCACCACGUUUGUAGGCAGGUUUCAAUAAAAGUAUUAGAAAUUACAUUUUUUCCACAUUAAUCAAAUAUUCAGUAAUGGAUUUUUGGUUCUAUUUUUAUUGCAAACCAGUUCAUUCUUCGCAAACAAGAAAUUCUACAUGCUGCGGAGAACCACAUCUACA
This 3650-nucleotide long non-coding RNA is filed under the name Triticum aestivum (bread wheat). RNAcentral's name for it is "long non-coding RNA (TAES_LNC008747)". The record is from RNAcentral. Lineage: Eukaryota; Viridiplantae; Streptophyta; Magnoliopsida; Poales; Poaceae.